GUAUGUAUAAAUGUCAUCAUAACAAAUACAACAAUAAUAUAAAUAGUAAAUAAACGACAUUAAUAUAAAAAAAUAAACAAUGACAAUGCAAGAAUAUCAAAUAAAUGAGCAAAAUAAAAAAAAAGUUCUUUUAAAAUAUAAAUGAAAACAUAAAUCAAUAAACAAAUGAAGGAAAUAAGCAAAAAAAAAAAUAUAAAGAAUAAGAGAUACA
RNAcentral lists this long non-coding RNA (211 nucleotides) under Gossypium raimondii (Peruvian cotton). Its description in RNAcentral is "long non-coding RNA (GRAI_LNC009408)". The record is from RNAcentral. Lineage: Eukaryota; Viridiplantae; Streptophyta; Magnoliopsida; Malvales; Malvaceae.